CUGUUCAGCAUUUUACAAAGUACUUUAUGGAAAUUACCUGACAUAAGAAAUGAACCUCUUAACAACCCUAGGAUGCUGUCCAAAGUGUUAAGUCUGAGAAACACAAAUUAAGGACCCUACAUUUUUAUUCAACACAUAUGAUUUUUAUUCAAAUCCAUAGGAAGUUAUGUAGAAAAUUAGCAACAAAAUAUCAUUGAAAUAUUUGGAAUAAUUACCAGACAUAAUAAUAUCUGUUUCUUAAAUCCACCUCAUAAGCUUACUUAUGGAAGUGUUGCAUUUCACCUAAUAAAGAAGAGAAAAAUAACAGAAGAUCUUGUUUCACUGCCAAGUGGAUGCCAAUUGAGACAGGAAACUUCAGAUGCUCUCAGAGACAUUAUAAUAAAAAAUUCCUAGCUUUAUAUUUUAAAAAA
Monodelphis domestica (gray short-tailed opossum) is the source of this 410-nucleotide long non-coding RNA. RefSeq lists it as uncharacterized. The record is from RefSeq and is a predicted model, not a curated record. NCBI's taxonomy places the organism in Eukaryota, Metazoa, Chordata, Mammalia, Didelphimorphia, Didelphidae.